This is a long non-coding RNA of Felis catus (domestic cat), 57 nucleotides long. It matches the Rfam family "HOXA transcript at the distal tip, conserved region 1". NCBI's taxonomy places the organism in Eukaryota, Metazoa, Chordata, Mammalia, Carnivora, Felidae. The record is from Rfam.
GGGAGGGGACAGAGGCGCGCCGUUGGGUUGAGACCUGAAGCGGUGGGAAUAGAUCAG